CUGCCAACGCUAAGCGCAGUUCCUUCGCUCUCGCUGCCUGAGCAGUGAUCGAAGCGUCAGACCGGGCAUCCGUCUCCGUCCCGGACCCUGGCGUCAUCUAGGAGACUUGCUCAUCAACUGCUGUCAGGGUGGUUGAUCGGGACUUAAUCCUGACUGGGCCUGUCGGCGACGUGUCUGUGCGAGCGCCGGGGCCGAGAAAAGCGAUAACACUGACUGCACCCGGAGAAGACCUGGAUCGACGCUCGAGGACCGGGGUUCGAUUCCCCGCAGCUCCACCG
This 278-nucleotide transfer-messenger RNA is filed under the name Actinomycetota bacterium. RNAcentral describes it as "Actinobacteria bacterium partial transfer-messenger RNA". It matches the Rfam family "transfer-messenger RNA", at positions 91 to 374 of the family's 374-position model. From Rfam's summary of the family: Bacterial tmRNA, also known as 10Sa RNA or SsrA, is named for its dual tRNA and mRNA-like properties. Its role is to liberate the mRNA from a stalled ribosome. Lineage: Bacteria; Bacillati; Actinomycetota. The record is from RNAcentral.